GAUGAACGCUGGCGGCGUGCCUAAUACAUGCAAGUCGAGCGAACAGAUGAGGAGCUUGCUCCUCUGACGUUAGCGGCGGACGGGUGAGUAACACGUGGAUAACCUACCUAUAAGACUGGGAUAACUUCGGGAAACCGGAGCUAAUACCGGAUAAUAUAUUGAACCGCAUGGUUCAAUAGUGAAAGACGGUUUUGCUAUCACUUAUAGAUGGAUCCGCGCCGCAUUAGCUAGUUGGUAAGGUAACGGCUUACCAAGGCAACGAUGCGUAGCCGACCUGAGAGGGUGAUCGGCCACACUGGAACUGAGACACGGUCCAGACUCCUACGGGAGGCAGCAAUAGGGAAUCUUCCGCAAUGGGCGAAAGCCUGACGGAGCAACGCCGCGUGAGUGAUGAAGGUCUUCGGAUCGUAAAACUCUGUUAUUAGGGAAGAACAAAUGUGUAAGUAACUAUGCACGUCUUGACGGUACCUAAUCAGAAAGCCACGGCUAACUACGUG
This 497-nucleotide ribosomal RNA is filed under the name uncultured bacterium. RNAcentral's name for it is "partial 16S ribosomal RNA". It matches the Rfam family "Bacterial small subunit ribosomal RNA", at positions 28 to 507 of the family's 1533-position model. The record is from RNAcentral.